GAUGAACGCUGGCGGCGUGCCUAAUACAUGCAAGUCGAGCGAACAGAUGAGGAGCUUGCUCCGCUGACGUUAGCGGCGGACGGGUGAGUAACACGUGGAUAACCUACCUAUAAGACUGGGAUAACUUCGGGAAACCGGAGCUAAUACCGGAUAAUAUAUUGAACCGCAUGGUUCAAUAGUGAAAGACGGUUUUGCUGUCACUUAUAGAUGGAUCCGCGCCGCAUUAGCUAGUUGGUAAGGUAACGGCUUACCAAGGCAACGAUGCGUAGCCGACCUGAGAGGGUGAUCGGCCACACUGGAACUGAGACACGGUCCAGACUCCUACGGGAGGCAGCAGUAGGGAAUCUUCCGCAAUGGGCGAAAGCCUGACGGAGCAACGCCGCGUGAGUGAUGAAGGUCUUCGGAUCGUAUAACUCUGUUAUUAGGGAAGAACAAAUGUGUAAGUAACUAUGCACGUCUUGACGGUACCUAAUCAGAAAGCCACGGCUAACUACGUG
RNAcentral lists this ribosomal RNA (497 nucleotides) under uncultured bacterium. RNAcentral describes it as "partial 16S ribosomal RNA". It matches the Rfam family "Bacterial small subunit ribosomal RNA", at positions 28 to 507 of the family's 1533-position model. The record is from RNAcentral.